Molecule: ribosomal RNA, 483 nt
Filed under: uncultured bacterium
Lineage: Bacteria
Description: bacterial SSU rRNA
Rfam family: Bacterial small subunit ribosomal RNA
Source: RNAcentral
GGGUGAGUAACACGUGGGCAACCUGCCUGUAAGACUGGGAUAACUUCGGGAAACCGGAGCUAAUACCGGAUAAUCCUUUUCCUCUCAUGAGGGAAAGCUGAAAGACGGUUUCGGCUGUCACUUACAGAUGGGCCCGCGGCGCAUUAGCUAGUUGGUGAGGUAACGGCUCACCAAGGCGACGAUGCGUAGCCGACCUGAGAGGGUGAUCGGCCACACUGGGACUGAGACACGGCCCAGACUCCUACGGGAGGCAGCAGUAGGGAAUCUUCCGCAAUGGACGAAAGUCUGACGGAGCAACGCCGCGUGAACGAUGAAGGCCUUCGGGUCGUAAAGUUCUGUUGUUAGGGAAGAACAAGUACCGGAGUAACUGCCGGUACCUUGACGGUACCUAACCAGAAAGCCACGGCUAACUACGUGCCAGCAGCCGCGGUAAUACGUAGGUGGCAAGCGUUGUCCGGAAUUAUUGGGCGUAAAGCGCGCGCA